RNAcentral lists this ribosomal RNA (228 nucleotides) under uncultured archaeon. RNAcentral's name for it is "partial 16S ribosomal RNA". It matches the Rfam family "Archaeal small subunit ribosomal RNA", at positions 23 to 246 of the family's 1478-position model. The record is from RNAcentral.
GCCACUGCUAUUGGGGUUCGGCUAAGCCAUGCGAGUGGAGGGCGUCCCGCAAGGGAUGGCCCCGCAGACGGCUCAGUAACACGUCGUCAACCCACCUUAGGGUGGGGGACAACCUCGGGAAACUGAGGAUAAUCCCCUAUAGGCGGGGGAGGCUGGAAUGCGCCCCCGCUGAAAGCUCAGGCGCCCUAGGAUGGGACUGCGGCCCAUCAGGCUGUUGGUGGUGUGACG